AGCAUGCGCUACCAAAGCCGAGGAAACGAAACACCUGAAACAAAAGUUCCAAAGCAGAGGCCACCAUGUCUC
Caenorhabditis elegans is the source of this 72-nucleotide non-coding RNA. Lineage: Eukaryota; Metazoa; Nematoda; Chromadorea; Rhabditida; Rhabditidae. The record is from Ensembl.